GGUUGUUGCAAACUUCUUGCUGUACGAAUUGAUUUCCUUGGAAUCCUUUGUUCUUGCAGCUGUCCAUGUGGGUCAAAUCACGGUGACCCUUUAAAACCUCCAAAAAAAAAAAAAAACAGGUUAUUCUCUAUUUUGCAAAUUGCCAUCUCUACAUAAGUGUAGAAGAGCUAACAUCCUUAAAGAUCAGAGCCCGCAGAAUAGGCCCUCCUGGAUAUUUCAGGCUAAAGGCAACUUUCUUUUACAAAAGGAUCUGAGAAGCAGGAGCAAGGAAUUCAGGGAGAGAUCCAGGAAGACAUCUGACUCUGUUAAGAGACGACAUUCACAGCGACAAGGGGAGCGAAGACACUUGCAGCAAAGCAAAAUGAAUUCACAACGAUUGCAUCAGAGCUGCAGGUGUGAGAGAGCCUAAGCCUGUCUCAGAGUGCAGGGGACAAGUGGAAAGGAAUGUGUAAGAAUGCCGGUGACUCAGUUAGAAGCAUGCUUCGAAGCUGUCCGUGUACUUGCCACCCAGAAGCAGAGCCUGGGGGCUACAGAAUUUCUCCAGAAUGCAGUUUACAUUCACCUUGACAAGGACAACACUAUGGCAUGAAGUCUUUGCAUCUACCAUUCCUGUAAGUUUCUCCAUCACCCAAGAAAGCUGUUAACAGCCAGGAGGAGGGUCCCAUUUUUGGAGUUGAAAGGUUACUCAUAGGAGUUUUACUUUUAUUCCAAAAAAUUCAGUGGAGGUAACCAAAUCGAGGACAACAUUAGACCAGCCUCUUACAUAACCACUCAGUCCUGAACCCAGUGUCUUUCAACUUGGACCCACUCAGGACGUUUUCACUGGAUAAGGAGACUGAGGAUUAAGUCUUCUCUCUUUUUGGGGGAGCUCAUUAUCAAUGACUGGAAGUUGUAAGAAAAAAAGAUAUUGAUUCAUCCUGAGAAAACAUUUUUCUGAGAGUCAGCAUUGAAGAAGGUGACCACUGAAGAGGGUGAUCAUUGUUCGAGUGAGACGAGCCCCGUGUGGUACGGAGUCAGCAUCCCAGUCCUGGACACGGCACUGUGCUGCAUGGUGGGUGAGGCGGCGUGGCCGCGCAGGGAACGAGGAUGCCGGGCCAUUGGGCUGUGCUCAGGCCUGGUGAGGCUUUCUCUGAAGAGCAGUGGACCGUCAUUGACAGAUUUUAAGUAGGGGAGUGGGGUGCUCUCGUAGAUCACAGUUGUGUUUGUAGAAUGCUUGCAAACAUUCAGUAGGCUCGGCAGAAAGUGAUGUGACGAAUCAGAGUAGGGUGGCUGCGAGGUGUAGCAGUGUUCAGUUUUCAAGUGGUUUUCAGUCCCAGGUUUGUGGCUCAGUAGCCGUGUCACUUUGGAUGAUGCACUCAAGGAAGUGAAACAAUUUAUCUAAUCAAUUAAAGCAGUGAUGUACCGACUUCCCAAGACUGCUGUGGCAAUCCAGUGAGAUUACGUG
Camelus dromedarius (Arabian camel) is the source of this 1444-nucleotide long non-coding RNA. RefSeq lists it as uncharacterized. The transcript has 5 exons. The record is from RefSeq and is a predicted model, not a curated record. Lineage: Eukaryota; Metazoa; Chordata; Mammalia; Artiodactyla; Camelidae.